This 1371-nucleotide long non-coding RNA is filed under the name Sinocyclocheilus anshuiensis. RNAcentral's name for it is "lncRNA (ENSSANG00000036026.1)". Lineage: Eukaryota; Metazoa; Chordata; Actinopteri; Cypriniformes; Cyprinidae. The record is from RNAcentral.
CAACUCUUCAGAGGAGCAUCAUUCCUGGUCCUGGGAUGAAGAGGAUGACUUGCCUCCAGAUGGGAAUGAGGCGGAGAUUGGGGCUGCCUUAGAAUGCCUGCGCAGACGCAGUGAUGAUCAUCUAGUAGCUGAUGGUGCUGGAGAUUAUGUUGAGCUGCUAGAGCCCAGAGGAGGCCCAGAUGGUGGUGCUGAUCCUAAACAGCGCUAUCUGGAAAUGCAUGGAAUAUGUAAGACCAAAACAUUGCCCCUGUGUAGGAGGGGUAAAGCAAUACGACUACGAAAGGGGAAGGGGAGAGGGUAUGGGAAGACUGAAUCUGGUGUUAGGGCUGGAAGUCUGGUACGAAGGAAUAGCAACAACAACGGCAAGAAUGGUGUAGUUUCGUGCAGUGACUUGGCUACCUCACGGCCCUUGCCUCGUGUCAUUGAUUUGGGUCACCAAAGAAGAUCAUAUUCCCCUUCAUUCCAGGACUCUGAUGAAGGUGCUAGAGACCCAGUAGGUCUCGAAUGCAGAUCUCAUUGCAUGGACAGUCUGGCCAAAGAGAGGAGGCCAGGGGUAGGAAAAGAGAGAGAUGGGAAUGGGGGUACACUGCCCUGGGAAGAGUGUCAGAGAAAGAAAUGUUCCAGCAGGCGAUGUUCCACAGAUGAUAAUGAUGUGGCUAAGAACAAAGCAGAGAGUCUGGAAGACGGACAACAGGACCACAAUCAAAGAUCGCACUGUGGCUGUGAUGAUAAAACAUUGACCAACACUUUAGACAGUAGACAUGAGGUUGCAACAUUAGCAAAUCCCUCCACUUCUGCAGAUAAUGGAGCUGUCCCUUUGGCUGUUUAUGGAGAAACAGAAGACAUAAAUAAGAAAUUGACACGGACAAUGUCUCUCCAAGAUUCUUCCCUGAACAAUGCAUCUGAUUCAUCAGGCUGUGCACAAAGCAGAACCAAACACUCAGACAAUACUAGUAAAGAGAAAACAGAUAAAAGUUUGCCACCAUCAGGUACUGUAAGCGCCACGGAAGAAAAGUGUUCUGGAAAGUCAAAUAACCUUAUUUGUCCCAGAGGAAAAGAAGUAAAAACAGGUGGAUUUAGAGCACCCAGGAGGAAAAGGAAAGCCAAAGGAGGCAAAGGGAAGACCAAAUCCAAUGGCCGUGUCCAACAUAAAAGCAAGGGUGACCAAAUUCACUCAAAGAACCCGCUCAAAGCCACCCAACCAAUCAGCCAUUCUAGCCAAUCAGAGGAGGCUCCCAAAUUAUCUAAGGAUUGCAAAGGCUGUGUAGCAGCCACUGAAACAGAAACAGAUGCAAAGUCAAAAGCCAAAGAUGGAGGUAUGUUGUGAUUGUCUCAAUUAAUUCUCAUAAGUGGCCUCUCAUUGAGUGCUGA